RNAcentral lists this ribosomal RNA (538 nucleotides) under uncultured Actinomycetes bacterium. Its description in RNAcentral is "bacterial SSU rRNA". It matches the Rfam family "Bacterial small subunit ribosomal RNA", at positions 367 to 896 of the family's 1533-position model. The record is from RNAcentral. Lineage: Bacteria; Bacillati; Actinomycetota; Actinomycetes.
CGCAAUGGGCGAAAGCCUGACGCAGCGACGCCGCGUGCGGGAAGAAGGCCUUCGGGUUGUAAACCGCUUUCAGGAGGGACGAAGCCACUCGGGUUAAUAGCCCAGAGGGUGACGGUACCUCCAGAAGAAGCCCCGGCUAACUACGUGCCAGCAGCCGCGGUAAUACGUAGGGGGCUAGCGUUGUCCGGAUUUAUUGGGCGUAAAGAGCGUGUAGGCGGUCAGGUAGGUCGGUUGUGAAAAACUGGAGGCUCAACCUUCAGAGGUCGACCGAAACCCCCUGGCUAGAGUCCGGGAGAGGAGAGUGGAAUUCCUGGUGUAGCGGUGAAAUGCGCAGAUAUCAGGAAGAACACCCGUGGCGAAAGCGGCUCUCUGGAACGGUACUGACGCUGAGACGCGAAAGCGUGGGGAGCGAACAGGAUUAGAUACCCUGGUAGUCCACGCCGUAAACGAUGGGCGCUAGGUGUGGGAGGUGUCGACUCCUUCCGUGCCGAAGCUAACGCAUUAAGCGCCCCGCCUGGGGAGUACGGCCGCAAGGCUA